AAACUAUUGCGAGUAGAAGAGAGACGAGAAGAGCUCUAGAGAGGAAGUUGAGCUCCAUGGCUCUUUGAUUACACACAGAGUGACUAAAGAGAACUGAUAAAAAUAAAGACAACAGCUAUCACGAAACACCAAGUUAGGUAGAGAGAGAGAGAGACUAAAAAUUAAGUUCCUUAAAAAGAGAGAGGUUGAUGACAAUAUUUUUAACAUUGGAUUACAGCCUUGCAAGGACGCGGAAACGUGCGAGCCUUUAAUGCAACGUUCUCAAACAAUGACGUUUCAUUGCCGUGGCAUUUUAUUUGUUGCUACUGUAUAUAUCAAUCAGUACAGUGUGCCAAAUUGUCGAUGAUGUAUAUUUAACUUAAUUUUCCUAUAGGUUACAACAAAAACGCUGAUAAACAAAUUAACAUAGGAUAGUUUGGUGAUGAAUGGUAUUUUUUUUUUAAAUUUGAACGUUGUGUUCCAAGACAAGAAUGGUAUACUAAUUUUAAUGUUCAUUUUUAUGAAUAUAAUGUAAGAUAAUUCUCUACCAUUCUGUUUUGAACAUACAAAAUCCUAUUCUGCUUGGGCUUGCUACUGCUCCUUUCUGUAACAUCUAAUGUCUAGGGGAGGGAUACCCCUUAUCUGUUAUUUCCUCUAUUUGAGCGUUUAUUCACAUGCGGUGAGAGUUUGCUCGAUGUUGAAGUCCAUUAUUUACAGAAACCUAGUGGAAAGAAAUGAACAUUUUAGAGGCAAGAAGAAAAAAUCAUUCAAAUCUACAAAUAGCAAAUGCAACUUGAGUCCUACUUUUACCUUAUCAACAUAUAUAUAGGUAAUAUUGACAAUGAAACCUAACCCAACAUAAACUCUCAAACAAAAUAUCUCAUACAUAAAAUAGUAUUCAUUUUAAUAUAAUUUAAUUAAUAAUUAAAUUUUAAACCAUAAGAUUAAAGUGAAGAAAUUACCAUGCAACACAUCAUAUCAAAGUAUCUCCUUUUUUGUUGUUGAGUUUUUUUCAGAUGAGAACCUCCUGUGCUUCUCUUACAACAUUUUACAAUUUUUUAUGUUUCUUUAAAAGUUUUACUGUCUUCGAAUUACCAUAUUCUGUAAUGAAAUCUAAUUUAGAUUUAAUUCAGUUCGAAAAAGACAAACAAGUAGCCAGCUAACUUCUUGAAUACUUAAGUACCUUUUUUUUUUGAAUACUUAAGUACCAUGUUGAUUUUUUUCCAGAGAAAACCAUGCAUAUUGUCAAAAUUGUAGAACAAGUCUUAUUCACUAUAUUCUAUUCUCAGGACUUUUCUGUUGGACAAACCAUAAGGGCCAAUAGGAAUCAAACACCGUACAAUCCUUUUUGGAUCAUCUAAAUGUGUUGGUCCAAAAUAAUUUCACUGUUAGUAUUUUAUGUUGAUCACAAAUGCAAAGAAUUAUAAUCCUUUUUGGAUGAUCUAAAUACGUUGGUCCAAAAUAAUUUCACUGUUAGUAUUUUAUGUUGAUCACAAAGGCAAAGAAUAUAUAAUUUGCAAAGUUUGUAUCUUCUCCAUUCACAUAGCAAGAGACUUGACUCAUCUUAAUCAUAUAACAGCCUCAAAGCAUUCCAAUAUCUUAACAAGGCAUAGUAAAAAGCUCAUGUACACACCCACAACACAUGCCUUAUGAUAUUAAAAACUAUUAAAGUAAAAGCUACACACACUCAGUUUUUUUUUCCUUUUACUUCUUCUCUUCUUAGACGUCUAAGGCGCAAUGUAAUGUCGCAGAUCAUUAUUGCCAAUCACCGCUCAGUCCAUUGCAUACAUCUGGGUCCAGAAACGGGCAGUGGUCUCGUACUUGGCUCGGUCUGUCUUGUAUAUGUGAGCUAUUUCUGGAACCAGAGCUUCAUCAGGGUUUGGAUCUGUAACUGUAGUAUUGGCUGGAGGAAGCGCAUGUUUGCCAGGACUUGCAGGUACGAUAAUAUUACCUCUUUUGUAAUGCCAUGAAUUUACUCUGAAGUGAAUAAUUAGUAGUUCUUUCGUACAACUUGAAACAUCUUUGAAACUCGAUCUAAAAGAAUAGAGCACUUAACUAACAUGCCUAUGCGUUUUUUUUUGUCUUUGUGAGCUGUAUCCAGAAAGGCUAGAGAAAGAACUGCAUGACCACCUUCCUUCUUAUAUAUGCAAUGGAGUCAGAGUAAUCCCUCCUCCUUGCGGCGUGGACUCAGCAUGGCAUGGAGCAAAGCUUAUCAGUAACGUAAGUCGAUAUUAUAUUGAUGAUAUUCAUUGAGUUUACAAUUAAGCGACGCAUCUCUCUUUCUCAGUCUCCUUAGCGGUUUUAAUACCAACAGAUUAUUUCUCAAGUGCUACUGUCUGAAACAUACCUUAGAUGGUGCUAUAUUUAACAUACCACGCCUGAGGCUCACGCAAUUGCAUGUUAAUUAAUUACUAUGUGCAGUUAAGCACGUUUCCUGGUCCUUGGUGUAUCACAAGGAAGCAGUUCCGUCGCAAAUCAAGACUAAUGUGGUGAAUCUCUCAGGUUUUUACUUCUUACAUAUACUGAUAUACAAGACCAAGCUAUUCGAUUCGUAAGUGAGAGGCAUGUUGACUGCAUAAUAGUUCCAAGGUACUUUACAUGUCUGGAUGUAUAGUGUAAUAGUGUUCCAUUAUUGUUUGCCCUCCAAAGCCUAGAAAACAUUAUGAAGAAUCAAGUUACUUGCUUAUACACACUGUGUUUUAAAUAUAGCUUGUUGAAACCUUUUGUUGAUUUAUAUACUUAAAUCCUUUCACAAUCUUCUUUAUAAUAUUUACUAGGCCAAUUUAUAGAAGAGACAAUGAUACAUAUACAUAAGUCAAUCAUACAAAUUAUCAUUUAGAAGUUUUUGAAGUUCCCUUAAUCAUAGAUAUACAGAGACUUGUAACAAGUAGCAGCAUUACAUAUGGCUUUGUCGGCCUCGAAAUAAUAAAACAGUCACGAAUAAAGCUACGGUCAUCCAAAUACGAGAAGAAGCGGUGGUGGUGGUGGUGGCUGUGUUUACGUCUGCUACUGAAUUGGGAGGCAUAUCGGGGCACUCGAGGCCUUCUUUAUCUCCUUUACACUGGCUAGAGAACAGUCCAGCCGGGUAUUUCCCAUAGAUAUUGAUGUAACUGAACAUCGUGCUUGCACAAUCUGUGGACAGGUCGUUGAGCUGUUCGGCGUAAGGACACGCAAACUCUAAAAAGGAAGAGCAACACUCCUUUACUGGGAAUUUGGGACCUUUACACUGGCUCGUUAUGACAGUGUAGUUCAUAAACUCUAAGUUCAGGGAACAUUCUGUUACCAUGGAUUGGCCAAGAAAGUAAGGAAUUUUAUAAGCAUAAUAAACACACAGAAAAACCUCCAGGAUAAAGAAACCAGAAUCAAAAUUAUGAAUAUGGAUCAACAUAGAGGUAGCUCCAUCUGGAUCGGUUUGUAUUUGUGCUUUCACACAUUGGGAAACAAAAAAUGGAACUCUUAACUAAGAUUCUAAUACAUGCGAAGAGAUUCAGUUUUAAAUGAUCACCAGAAGAUAAACAAGUUGGGGAAAGCAAGAUUUUAUGAGAUUGCGAAGUGACUUACUUUUCUUGGCCUGAAGUAGGUUUCUUCCAAUAACCAAAUCCUGAGAUUCGAGCACACCAUCUGCAUUUUUUUCAAAAAAAUAAAUAAAUAAAAAAAAAACAAAUUGACUGAGAACAUUCAAACAGUUAUUUGGGGAAGAAAAGAAUCAAGAAAGUGUUACCGGAGAUAACAGUAGAGGAUGAGAAAGAUGAAACUAUUGCGAGUAGAAGAGAGACGAGAAGAGCUCUAGAGAGGAAGUUGAGCUCCAUGGCUCUUUGAUUACACACAGAGUGACUAAAGAGAACUGAUAAAAAUAAAGACAACAGCUAUCACGAAACACCAAGUUAGGUAGAGAGAGAGAGAGACUAAAAAUUAAGUUCCUUAAAAAGAGAGAGGUUGAUGACAAUAUUUUUAACAUUGGAUUACAGCCUU
RNAcentral lists this long non-coding RNA (3951 nucleotides) under Brassica napus (rape). RNAcentral's name for it is "long non-coding RNA (BNAP_LNC010811)". The record is from RNAcentral. Lineage: Eukaryota; Viridiplantae; Streptophyta; Magnoliopsida; Brassicales; Brassicaceae.